UGUGCACACCCUGCUCAUCCACUCUACACCUGUGCACUUACUGUGGGUUCCAGACGUUGUGAAGCGGGCUCUUUACGGAGCUUGUAAAGCGGCGUGCCUGUGCCUGCGUUUAUCACAAACUCUAUAAAGUAUUAGAAUGUGUAUUGCGAUGUAACGCAUCUAUAUACAACUUUCAGCAACGGAUCUCUUGGCUCUCGCAUCGAUGAAGAACGCAGCGAAAUGCGAUAAGUAAUGUGAAUUGCAGAAUUCAGUGAAUCAUCGAAUCUUUGAACGCACCUUGCGCUCCUUGGUAUUCCGAGGAGCAUGCCUGUUUGAGUGUCAUGAAAUCUUCAACUUACAGACCUUUGCGGGUUUGUAGGCUUGGACUUUGGAGGCUUGUCGGCCAUGUUUUGGUCGGCUCCACUUAAAUGUAUUAGCUUGAUUCCUUGCGGAUCGGCUCUCGGUGUGAUAAUGUCUANNNCGCGACCGUGAAGCGUUUUGGCGAGCUUCUAACCGUCUCGUUUGUGAGACAGNUUUAUCA
Molecule: ribosomal RNA, 520 nt
Filed under: Ganoderma resinaceum
Lineage: Eukaryota; Fungi; Basidiomycota; Agaricomycetes; Polyporales; Polyporaceae
Description: eukaryotic LSU rRNA
Rfam family: 5.8S ribosomal RNA (bases 168-321)
Source: RNAcentral